Thalictrum thalictroides is the source of this 75-nucleotide non-coding RNA. Lineage: Eukaryota; Viridiplantae; Streptophyta; Magnoliopsida; Ranunculales; Ranunculaceae. The record is from the annotation of a GenBank genome assembly.
GAGCAGAUGAUGAAAGAGAUUGUCUGACUUCUCAAUGAAGCUUCAAAUCUUAGAGCUUUUUAAACCUGAUGCUCG